Molecule: ribosomal RNA, 478 nt
Filed under: uncultured organism
Description: partial 16S ribosomal RNA
Rfam family: Bacterial small subunit ribosomal RNA
Source: RNAcentral
UACACUCCUGCGGGAGGCAGCAGUGGGGAAUUUUGGACAAUGGGCGAAAGCCUGAUCCAGCCAUGCCGCGUGCAGGAUGAAGGCCUUCGGGUUGUAAACUGCUUUUGUACGGAACGAAACGGCCUUUUCUAAUAAAGAGGGCUAAUGACGGUACCGUAAGAAUAAGCACCGGCUAACUACGUGCCAGCAGCCGCGGUAAUACGUAGGGUGCAAGCGUUAAUCGGAAUUACUGGGCGUAAAGCGUGCGCAGGCGGUUAUGUAAGACAGUUGUGAAAUCCCCGGGCUCAACCUGGGAACUGCAUCUGUGACUGCAUAGCUAGAGUACGGUAGAGGGGGAUGGAAUUCCGCGUGUAGCAGUGAAAUGCGUAGAUAUGCGGAGGAACACCGAUGGCGAAGGCAAUCCCCUGGACCUGUACUGACGCUCAUGCACGAAAGCGUGGGGAGCAAACAGGAUUAGAUACCCCAGUAGUCCCAUGAU